AAACAUCUCACGUUUCCAUCUAUGUUCCUCAACCAUAAUCGGCCAUGGAUGAUGGUGUUUCAUACUGAAUCCAUAAACCACUCUCCUCAAAUCCACCUUAGGUCUCUCGAAUCUGGAAUCCAAAAUCGGAAUUUGUAGAGACCCAAGUUCUAGGUUAUUGCACAUGGAUCUCUGCUCUACCUUUCUUGCGUUUUGGCCUGGAUUCGUCCCUUAAUAACGAUGUUUGUGGUUUUUGGAAACAAAAUCAAAGGUUCAAGUCUCGGGUUCGAUUCUUUCUAAAUGGGUAAAUUCUCUUUCAUCCCUUGUGAUUUUCUUUCAACAUCUUCAUCUUCCUCUUUGUCCCUUCUCUUGAGAGGGUCAAAAUUCAUGUGGGUCUCUAGGGCAGAACUUGUUUUUUUCAUAUUCCUAUGUUAAUUGAACUAGUUAGUUUCUUAAUCCACUAUGUUUUCUUGUUAUUUGUGUUUGUUUUAGUGAUUGUAUUGAUAAACUUUAAUGUUUCGGUAUCAGUUUAGUGGCCUAGUCACUAAGUUUAUGUCCGUAAUUAAUUUGCUGUUAUAAAUUUAGAUUGGUUAAUUAAUUAAUUUUGCCUUUGCUUCGGUUUUUAUGUGAGAAAUAACUUCAGGCCUCUUCAUUUGGGAAAAUUGGUUCUAGCCCUAAUUUGGGUCCAUAUGGGUUGCAAUUGGUUUGCAAGAAGCAUCAAGCCCUGUUUUGAGAUUCAAUUUGGGGGUCUGUGAACCAACUAGCUUGACCAGUUGGCCCAGGGGGCGUUAAGGGGUAAUAAACUAAGGUUUGAAGGGUAGUAUAGGCAACACACUUAGGGAAUCUUAGUGUAAAUGCCUAGGAAGCUUCUAGUAGGGAGGUUCUUUUUCAAUUUUCGGUUUUUGGUAGUAGAACUUGAGUAACAAGUCUGAAUUUUAGCGUGUCCUAAGCUAAAACAAGAAAUUAAAAAAGGACCUAAGGGGUAAGCUAAAAUUAGCUGGGCUCCCCCAAUUGCUUGCCUAUUAAGUAAUGUUGAUCUUGUCUUGCAACAGGUCAGAUUUGAAUAGCUAAAAUGUAGAGAAAUAUAGGUAUCUGAAAACAUCAAAAAAAAUUCACUGUUCUAUUAGAGAAAAUCCCUUAAAUUCCUGAGAUAUUCAUUCUGAAAUAAUCCAUUAGCAACAGAAGGUUUAUAAUGAGUUGAAUCUGCUUGGUAUUCAACUGUUUAGGUCAUUUUGGGUUGCUUUUUAACUGAUGUACUUUAUUGAAUACUAUUGUUGGUUCGAAAUUGCUUCAAAGUUGAUCAUUCCUUGUUUAUUCUUGGGCUAGUACCUGUGUUGUGUUGCUUUUGUUGUGCAUUAAGCUGAACCCACUGAUUCUAAGCUAUUCUUUAUCUCUAUCCUUUUCCAGGUAUUCAUCUCACCUUCAAUGUAUGAAAAAUGGAUGAAAGUGAAGAUUAGUUCCUUUAAAUAAAGAUUUAUCCCAUAGUAGUUGUUAUUCAAUGUUUUUGCACCUUUACAGUUGUUUAGAUUAGUUUGAUCUUCUUAUGCUUCUUUAUACUUAUUCUGAAUAUGAACUACUAUGGUGGUAUUAAUUAGUUGUUCAAGCAUUGCUUGGAAGUUGUAUAUGUCCAUAAGAUUGGAACACUAGUCUAUCUGACAAUCAGUGCAUAGGCCAGUUUCUAGAUACAUAUUAUUGAAAGGAGUAUGUCUAAAGUUAUGUCGUCCAUGUGAUCAUGUAAAUAAG
Molecule: long non-coding RNA, 1722 nt
Filed under: Nicotiana benthamiana
Lineage: Eukaryota; Viridiplantae; Streptophyta; Magnoliopsida; Solanales; Solanaceae
Description: long non-coding RNA (NBEN_LNC006312)
Source: RNAcentral